CAAAAGCUUGGUCCUGACUUUAAUAUCAUCUUUGAUUAAAAUUAUACAUGCAAGUAUCUGCACUCCCGUGAAAAUGCCCUAACAUACCCCCUAAUCACGGGAAAAAAGGAGUAGGUAUCAGGCACGAUCCAAAAUCAGCCUAAAACACCUUGCCCAGCCACACCCCCAAGGGAAUUCAGCAGUAAUAAACAUUAAGCAAUAAGUGAAAACUUGACUUAGCUAUAAAUCAAGGAGGGCCGGUUAACCUCGUGCCAGCCACCGCGGUUAUACGAGAGACCCAAGUUGAAAUCAUAACGGUGUAAAAAGUGGUUAAAAUAUAAACUUAAAUUAAAGCUAAACAUCUUCUAUGCUGUUAUAUGCUUAUGAAGACAGGAAAUACCUUUUACAAAAGUAGCUUUAAAACAUAAUUACUCCACGAAAGCUAAGACACAAACUGGGAUUAGAUACCCCACUAUGCUUAGCCCUAAACCUAAGUGUCUCAUAACCUUCACCAUUACUUACCAGGGAACUACGAGCCCCAGCUUAAAACCCAAAGGACUUGGCGGUGCUUAAGACCCCCCUAGAGGAGCCUGUUCUAUAAUCGAUAACCCCCGUUAAACCUCACCCUUACUUGCAUUAAAACAGCCUAUAUACCGCCGUCGUCAGCUUACCCUGUGAAGGAACUACAGUAAACAUAAUUGGUAAAAACCCAAAACGUCAGGUCAAGGUGUAGCAUAUGCAAAGGGAAGAAAUGGGCUACAUUUACUGACAACAGUAAAUUACGGAUAAUACUUUGAAAUAAGUAACUGAAGGAGGAUUUAGCAGUAAGAAAAAAAAAUAGAGAGUUUUUCUGAAACUGGCCCUAAAGCGCGCACACACCGCCCGUCACUCUCCCCAAACUUAAACAACAUAAUAUAUAUAAAAAAAAGAUAUCAUAAACAAAGGGGAGGCAAGUCGUAACAUGGUAAGUGUACUGGAAAGUGCACUUGGAAAAA
Molecule: non-coding RNA, 974 nt
Filed under: Brachygobius xanthomelas (bumblebee goby)
Lineage: Eukaryota; Metazoa; Chordata; Actinopteri; Gobiiformes; Gobiidae
Description: 12S ribosomal RNA
Rfam family: Bacterial small subunit ribosomal RNA
Source: RNAcentral